GUGACGCCAUCAUCCCCAUCCAUCAACAAACAAAACUGUAAAAAUGGAACAUUGUAUCUUUGCCCUAUGUUCAUUCCUUUUGGAACCGGUUUUGGAAAGGGAUUGUGAUACCAUGACCAGAAUGCAGGCAUUGCAGUCAUUACAUGGACAAGCUGUUUAUGAGCAGAACAGCCUAUAGCAGAAGGGGGUGUGUGAUGGGAGGGUGGCUAUUGAAAAAGUUCUGAAAACAAUUAUCAUCUUGUUGAAGAUACCCCUUGGUCAAUCAUCAACAGCUACAAAGAACAAAACAACUGUUAACAAAGUUAUCUAUGCUUUUGCAUGCUUUAAGGAUACAGUAAACUGUAAAUAUUUAUAGUGACUCAUAUGGACAUCCUGUAUGACAGGUUAUGUCAGGUGUGUAUUCCCUGUUUUAAAAAAAACUAUACUCACAUUUCUGUGUAUGUCUUGACCA
Triplophysa rosa is the source of this 451-nucleotide long non-coding RNA. RefSeq lists it as uncharacterized. The record is from RefSeq and is a predicted model, not a curated record. The transcript has 3 exons. NCBI's taxonomy places the organism in Eukaryota, Metazoa, Chordata, Actinopteri, Cypriniformes, Nemacheilidae.